CCUGCUCAAUGAAACUUAAAUAGCCGCUAUAUGUGCUAAGGUAGCAUAAUAAAUUGCUCUUUAAUUAAGAGAUAGAAUGAAAGGAAAUACGAUUUAUUAAUUAUAUCCAUAGAUUCAAAUAAAAUUUUAAUAAUUAGUAAAAAUCCAAUUAAAUAACAGCAGGACGACAAGACCCUGCCAAACUCUAAUUUAUAUUUUACUGGGAAGGUAACAAACAAAAUCUUUUAAAACAAUUAUCCAAUAAACGCUAAUAAUCGAAUUAAACUAAGUUACUGCAGGGAUAACAGCAUAAUAAUUUAAAAAAGCCCAUAUAUAAUAAAUUGCUUAUGACCUCGAUGUUGAAUUAACAUAUCUCUCUACAGAAAAAAGUAAAAAAGACAGUCUGUUCGACUAAUAAAACGUUACAU
This 407-nucleotide ribosomal RNA is filed under the name Speocera songae. Its description in RNAcentral is "partial large subunit ribosomal RNA". Lineage: Eukaryota; Metazoa; Arthropoda; Arachnida; Araneae; Ochyroceratidae. The record is from RNAcentral.